Molecule: non-coding RNA, 31 nt
Filed under: Rattus norvegicus (Norway rat)
Lineage: Eukaryota; Metazoa; Chordata; Mammalia; Rodentia; Muridae
Source: RNAcentral
UGCCCUAAAUACAGUUACUGUUGCCACAAUC